RNAcentral lists this long non-coding RNA (342 nucleotides) under Homo sapiens (human). RNAcentral's name for it is "HSALNT0155001". The record is from RNAcentral. Lineage: Eukaryota; Metazoa; Chordata; Mammalia; Primates; Hominidae.
GUUUGCUUCUGUCAUGUGUCUGGGAACACCAACAACUUAGAACAGCUUUGAACUAAAUUAUAAGUAUUCUGUUUUUCAAGUCACACAGAUAAUGUGAAUUCCAACUCCAAACUCUUGUGAGAUUGGGCUUAUGGCUCUUAAAGAAGACACUGUCUUUCCCUCCCCCGAGAACCAAGGCCAACACUGGUAAGGUUAGAAGGCUGCCAGCCUGGUCACCAAGAAGAAUACUUUUGUGAAAGAUCCUGCCACGAGCUGGUGUUUCAUGAGCAACGAACAGAAAACCAUCUCCCAUUUUGACAGCCCUGCGCUGGGAAUUCAUAAAAUAUUCAAGUAACUAAUAAA